This 254-nucleotide ribosomal RNA is filed under the name uncultured bacterium. RNAcentral's name for it is "partial 16S ribosomal RNA". It matches the Rfam family "Bacterial small subunit ribosomal RNA", at positions 524 to 776 of the family's 1533-position model. The record is from RNAcentral.
UACGGGGGGAGCAAGCGUUGUUCGGAUUUACUGGGCGUAAAGGGCGCGUAGGCGGUCACGACAAGUCAGUUGUGAAAUCUCCGGGCUUAACUCGGAACGGUCAACUGAUACUGUCGGACUAGAGUGCAGAAGGGGCAACUGGAAUUCUCGGUGUAGCGGUGAAAUGCGUAGAUAUCGGGAGGAAUACCAGUGGCGAAGGCGGCCUUCUGGACGGAUACUGACGCUGAGGCGCGAAAGCCAGGGGAGCAAACGGG